RNAcentral lists this ribosomal RNA (2538 nucleotides) under Escherichia coli. RNAcentral's name for it is "partial 23S ribosomal RNA". It matches the Rfam family "Bacterial large subunit ribosomal RNA", at positions 419 to 2925 of the family's 2925-position model. The record is from RNAcentral. Lineage: Bacteria; Pseudomonadati; Pseudomonadota; Gammaproteobacteria; Enterobacterales; Enterobacteriaceae.
GGGACACGUGGUAUCCUGUCUGAAUAUGGGGGGACCAUCCUCCAAGGCUAAAUACUCCUGACUGACCGAUAGUGAACCAGUACCGUGAGGGAAAGGCGAAAAGAACCCCGGCGAGGGGAGUGAAAAAGAACCUGAAACCGUGUACGUACAAGCAGUGGGAGCACGCUUAGGCGUGUGACUGCGUACCUUUUGUAUAAUGGGUCAGCGACUUAUAUUCUGUAGCAAGGUUAACCGAAUAGGGGAGCCGAAGGGAAACCGAGUCUUAACUGGGCGUUAAGUUGCAGGGUAUAGACCCGAAACCCGGUGAUCUAGCCAUGGGCAGGUUGAAGGUUGGGUAACACUAACUGGAGGACCGAACCGACUAAUGUUGAAAAAUUAGCGGAUGACUUGUGGCUGGGGGUGAAAGGCCAAUCAAACCGGGAGAUAGCUGGUUCUCCCCGAAAGCUAUUUAGGUAGCGCCUCGUGAAUUCAUCUCCGGGGGUAGAGCACUGUUUCGGCAAGGGGGUCAUCCCGACUUACCAACCCGAUGCAAACUGCGAAUACCGGAGAAUGUUAUCACGGGAGACACACGGCGGGUGCUAACGUCCGUCGUGAAGAGGGAAACAACCCAGACCGCCAGCUAAGGUCCCAAAGUCAUGGUUAAGUGGGAAACGAUGUGGGAAGGCCCAGACAGCCAGGAUGUUGGCUUAGAAGCAGCCAUCAUUUAAAGAAAGCGUAAUAGCUCACUGGUCGAGUCGGCCUGCGCGGAAGAUGUAACGGGGCUAAACCAUGCACCGAAGCUGCGGCAGCGACGCUGAUGCGUUGUUGGGUAGGGGAGCGUUCUGUAAGCCUGUGAAGGUGUGCUGUGAGGCAUGCUGGAGGUAUCAGAAGUGCGAAUGCUGACAUAAGUAACGAUAAAGCGGGUGAAAAGCCCGCUCGCCGGAAGACCAAGGGUUCCUGUCCAACGUUAAUCGGGGCAGGGUGAGUCGACCCCUAAGGCGAGGCCGAAAGGCGUAGUCGAUGGGAAACAGGUUAAUAUUCCUGUACUUGGUGUUACUGCGAAGGGGGGACGGAGAAGGCUAUGUUGGCCGGGCGACGGUUGUCCCGGUUUAAGCGUGUAGGCUGGUUUUCCAGGCAAAUCCGGAAAAUCAAGGCUGAGGCGUGAUGACGAGGCACUACGGUGCUGAAGCAACAAAUGCCCUGCUUCCAGGAAAAGCCUCUAAGCAUCAGGUAACAUCAAAUCGUACCCCAAACCGACACAGGUGGUCAGGUAGAGAAUACCAAGGCGCUUGAGAGAACUCGGGUGAAGGAACUAGGCAAAAUGGUGCCGUAACUUCGGGAGAAGGCACGCUGAUAUGUAGGUGAAGCGACUUGCUCGUGGAGCUGAAAUCAGUCGAAGAUACCAGCUGGCUGCAACUGUUUAUUAAAAACACAGCACUGUGCAAACACGAAAGUGGACGUAUACGGUGUGACGCCUGCCCGGUGCCGGAAGGUUAAUUGAUGGGGUCAGCGCAAGCGAAGCUCUUGAUCGAAGCCCCGGUAAACGGCGGCCGUAACUAUAACGGUCCUAAGGUAGCGAAAUUCCUUGUCGGGUAAGUUCCGACCUGCACGAAUGGCGUAAUGAUGGCCAGGCUGUCUCCACCCGAGACUCAGUGAAAUUGAACUCGCUGUGAAGAUGCAGUGUACCCGCGGCAAGACGGAAAGACCCCGUGAACCUUUACUAUAGCUUGACACUGAACAUUGAGCCUUGAUGUGUAGGAUAGGUGGGAGGCUUAGAAGUGUGGACGCCAGUCUGCAUGGAGCCGACCUUGAAAUACCACCCUUUAAUGUUUGAUGUUCUAACGUUGACCCGUAAUCCGGGUUGCGGACAGUGUCUGGUGGGUAGUUUGACUGGGGCGGUCUCCUCCUAAAGAGUAACGGAGGAGCACGAAGGUUGGCUAAUCCUGGUCGGACAUCAGGAGGUUAGUGCAAUGGCAUAAGCCAGCUUGACUGCGAGCGUGACGGCGCGAGCAGGUGCGAAAGCAGGUCAUAGUGAUCCGGUGGUUCUGAAUGGAAGGGCCAUCGCUCAACGGAUAAAAGGUACUCCGGGGAUAACAGGCUGAUACCGCCCAAGAGUUCAUAUCGACGGCGGUGUUUGGCACCUCGAUGUCGGCUCAUCACAUCCUGGGGCUGAAGUAGGUCCCAAGGGUAUGGCUGUUCGCCAUUUAAAGUGGUACGCGAGCUGGGUUUAGAACGUCGUGAGACAGUUCGGUCCCUAUCUGCCGUGGGCGCUGGAGAACUGAGGGGGGCUGCUCCUAGUACGAGAGGACCGGAGUGGACGCAUCACUGGUGUUCGGGUUGUCAUGCCAAUGGCACUGCCCGGUAGCUAAAUGCGGAAGAGAUAAGUGCUGAAAGCAUCUAAGCACGAAACUUGCCCCGAGAUGAGUUCUCCCUGACCCUUUAAGGGUCCUGAAGGAACGUUGAAGACGACGACGUUGAUAGGCCGGGUGUGUAAGCGCAGCGAUGCGUUGAGCUAACCGGUACUAAUGAACCGUGAGGCUUAACCUUACAACGCCGAAG